ACCCCAGGUACCCCACCUCUCCAGAAUUGGGAAGAGAUAAGGCUGAGUGGAUUACCUGACUGGAGGGUUGACUCCACCCCAAAAAGAAAAAGACAGACCAACACCAGGCGUGAAGAUGGUCCAAGUGCUUGCCCAGUCUGAGUCUGACUUGACCUGGGCACCUCAAUGAAUCAGGAAUAGAAUCUAACAGGAACAAAGCCAUGGACCCUUGUUCAGUUACUAGACCACGGAACAAAACCCAGCAGUAACAACUCUAUUCCUGGUUCGGCCCCAAGGCUGAGCUUGCCCAAGGCAGCAGCAGGACACAUAACUUCCCAAGCACGGCAGUGUGCCCCCACUUGCUCCUACCACGGGGAAGAGAUGAGAAAUGCUGACCUUGGCUGAUCACAGUGCAUUUUCACUGUGGAUCUGCACAGCGUAAUUUAGCACAGG
This 432-nucleotide long non-coding RNA is filed under the name Chrysemys picta bellii (western painted turtle). Its description in RNAcentral is "lncRNA (ENSCPBG00000006266.1)". Lineage: Eukaryota; Metazoa; Chordata; Testudines; Emydidae. The record is from RNAcentral.